Molecule: long non-coding RNA, 287 nt
Organism: Melospiza melodia melodia
Lineage: Eukaryota; Metazoa; Chordata; Aves; Passeriformes; Passerellidae
Exons: 3
Source: RefSeq, a predicted model, not a curated record
GUUGUACUUUCCUUUGAGCCGGAUCUCCUCGGCUUUGAGUUUCUCCUCCUCCCGCAUCUCGUUGUCGGACUCCAGGGCAUCAAAGACGGCAGCCCCGACCAGCAGAGCUUGUGUGACUCUGAGCCCCCAGCAUGGACAAGCCUUAGAGGAUGUGAUUUUAUAUUGAAACCAACAGCAGCAACACUUGGAGAGCUACACAAAAGGGAAAAUCCGGGAUCUGCAGACACCCUGGCUGGCAAAGUGACAUCCUGCUGGGGUGACAUCCUUCUGCAUCCCUGGAGUCCACG